GACGAACGCUGGCGGCGUGCCUAACACAUGCAAGUCGAGCGAGAGACUUCGGUCUCUAGCGGCGGACGGGUGAGUAACACGUGGGUAACCUGCCUCAAACAGGGGGAUAGCCUCCCGAAAGGGAGAUUAAUACCGCAUAACAUCACGCUAUCGCAUGAUAGUGUGAUCAAAGGAGUAAUCCAGUUUGAGAUGGGCCCGCGGCGCAUUAGCUAGUUGGUGAGGUAAAGGCUUACCAAGGCGACGAUGCGUAGCCGACCUGAGAGGGUGAUCGGCCACAUUGGAACUGAGACACGGUCCAGACUCCUACGGGAGGCAGCAGUGGGGAAUAUUGCACAAUGGGGGAAACCCUGAUGCAGCAACGCCGCGUGAGUGAUGAAGGCCUUCGGGUUGUAAAGCUCUGUCUUUGGGGACGAUUAUGACGGUACCCAAGGAGGAAGCCACGGCUAACUACGUGC
This 455-nucleotide ribosomal RNA is filed under the name uncultured Eubacteriales bacterium. RNAcentral's name for it is "bacterial SSU rRNA". It matches the Rfam family "Bacterial small subunit ribosomal RNA", at positions 28 to 508 of the family's 1533-position model. Lineage: Bacteria; Bacillati; Bacillota; Clostridia; Eubacteriales. The record is from RNAcentral.